Molecule: long non-coding RNA, 1390 nt
Organism: Helianthus annuus (common sunflower)
Lineage: Eukaryota; Viridiplantae; Streptophyta; Magnoliopsida; Asterales; Asteraceae
Exons: 2
Source: RefSeq, a predicted model, not a curated record
UUUGCUUGCAAUUAUCCCACCGAUGAAGUUAAUCGGUGUCCUCCAAUCAUCACCUCCGCAUUGCCCCCCUUAGACACCGUUUCAUAUCCUUUAUAAUCUAUAAAUUCACCGCUACAAUAUUGUCUUAUUCCAGAUGCGCACAGUAUAUCACGUUUCAUCUACCCUCUUCAUCUCAGAUAAGAAAUUAGGGUUCCUCAAAAUUUAGAUCUCCCAAAUUCCUUUCAAAUUUAAAGGGGUAAAUAUGAUGCUUAUCCAUUAUCGAAGGUUUUUUUUCUAUAUAUCUUAAUGUUUUACUAAAUUCUAUAACAUUAUAUUGGAUUCCUGUGUAUAUAUGCGAUCACAUAUGACUAUGAUGAUGAUAAUUGACUCGCUUCUGUUUUACGUUUAUUUUUUCCUAUUAUAUGCAUGAAUUCUACAAGAUAAUUUGUAAUAUUAUGUGGAUAUACAUGUAUUUAUAUAAUUUCCAUUUGGGUUUUUUUCUUAGAUUCUUCAUAGUUGAAGAAUUAAAAAUUGACAUAGUGGUUUUAAAAUUUGGUGCCCACCGGUGUUUGUGCUUAUGCUUCACUGAAUUUUGUUCAAAUGUAUGGUUUUCUAUAUUUUUUUAAAGUUUGUCAUUUGACAUAGUAGUUUUAGAUUUUGAUGCCUGCCAAGUGUUUGUGUUUAUGCUUCACUGGAUUUUAAUCAAAUAAAUGGUUUUCUGUAUUUUUUAUCGUUUGACAUAGUAGUUUUAGAUUUUGGUGCCCACCAAAUGUUUUUGUUUAUGCUUCACUGAAUUUAUUCAAAUGUAUGGUUCUUUAUAUUUCUUUAACAAAUAUUAUGAAUUGUGUUUGUUAAGGUCCAAAUUGAUAUUGAAAACAAUGAACAAAAUUGGGGCUAAUGUGUGAGUUUCAUAAAAUGUCCGUCAUGACCUCCGAUUUUUUACCUUAAGGCUCUGGCGACUUUGAUUUUGCAUUAAAUGACAAAAAUUUCUCUGAUCGUUCUCUAUGCUUGAUGGAGAGGGUUGUACGAGGCUAGCCUAUCCUAUCCGAUUGGGCUUGGAUUGUAAACGCCGAAGAGAAGAUAUUGAAAAGGAAAAUGGCAUAUUUACCAUGCCCCUAUUUGGAGGGAAGAACAAGGAGGAACUUGGAAGUGGCUUUACGGUUCUUCAUAGGCGUUGCAGGGACGUCCAUGUUACCGAUUGAAGACGAUGCGCCGAUGGAUGCGUAUGCCUACGCAGGGAGUGCCGCGGGGGUAGACCUCACAAUAAUGGCGCCCCUGUCUUCCGGUAAGAUCCGAUGCAAACAGGGAAUAGUUGUAAGGAUAUAAAUGAAUUAGUAUGUGUAUUGAGAAUGCAAGUGAACGAAAAAAAAUAAAAAAAGUUUGGAAAUAUAGAGUUUUUUUUUUUUUUUUU